Molecule: long non-coding RNA, 1061 nt
Organism: Hippocampus zosterae (dwarf seahorse)
Lineage: Eukaryota; Metazoa; Chordata; Actinopteri; Syngnathiformes; Syngnathidae
Exons: 3
Source: RefSeq, a predicted model, not a curated record
AAAGAAUAACAGAAUUUGGAGAUGCAUACAUUUGUACAUUCUACUGACAGCUGCAAAUUAAAAUGAAUGAGCUGUGUUUUGAAAUGCAUUUGUUAUGCCAAAAUGACACUUUUGUAUAUAGUUGGGUUUAAAAAAAAAGAUAGAUUUGUGUUUUUUUUGGGGACAAAAUUACAAUAAAUCACAAACAGAUAUUUUAAAUUAUUUAUUAUGAAUUUUGUUUAAAUUACAGAUGGUUUUGGUUAGAAAAAAAUGUCUGUUUUUUUUGUUGUAGCUUGUUUUCAGAUACUAAUGAAGAUAAAUAUAAAAUGAAUUUCUCUGGUCAAAAUCAUUCUUUCCCGCAUUAUAACCAAAAUUCCUACAGUGAAUUCUAGUUUAACUAUCCAUCCAUCCAUCCAUCUAUUUUCUAAUCCGCUUAUGCUCACGAGGGGCGCGGCGGGGGUGCUGGAGCCUAUCCCAGCCGACUUCGGGCAGUUGGCGGGGGACAUCUGCCAAUCGCAGGGCACACACAGACGAACAACCAUCCGUGCUCACACUCAUACCUAGGGACAAUUUGGAAUGUUCAAUCAGCCUGCCAUGCAUGUUUUUGGACUGUGGGAGGAAACUGAAGCACCCGGAGAAAACCCACGCGAGCCCGGGGAGCACAUGCAAACUCCACACAGGAAGGCCGGAGCCGGAACGAACCCACGACUACUGCACUGAAGCGUCUGGUGACGGUCCGGACCUGAUUCUUCAUCUCGUAGACAAUGAUUCCUUUGGCACAGACUCCCAAAACCAAUUCACCAAUCAAAGGCCUUUUUUCUCUGCCCACGCGGUGGAACAUAACCCCGUACUCUGGUAGUUGCUGGGCAAUCUUAACAGAAGCAAAGUCAAGGUCCCAUCGGGGCAUGCCUGCCAUGCAGUCUUGGCAGCUCGUCCUUCACAUUGGGCAAUGCCAGCUUCUCAAGCAUUCUCUUGGACACAUAGUGCUCCGGCUGGUAGUAAGUCUUUCCAUACAACUGGGCGAAACAAUGCACUCAUAUGACAACGGAACACAAAUGGGAAAGCAGAAGUGUUCUUCUUGC